CUUUUUUUGGGAGAAAUGUGUUUUUGAACAAUGAUUUUUUGUAUAAUGUGUAUUCAAAAAGUAUGGAAAAAUUUUUGUUGUGUAAAAUUUUUUUAUGGGAAAAUUUGUGCUUGAAAAUAAGUUUUAGAAAAACCGGGCUCAUACCAGGCUUAUAAAUUAGCAAUGUCGAUGAAUCAAUAUUCUUUAUUCUCAUGAAAUGGCAGUGAAAACAAUUUAGUCAACACAUUAUGCCCUUGUUUGAGCCCUAUUUUUGACAAAAAAACAAAAAAUACAUUUUUGAAUAGUGUAUUGAUAGAAAAUAUAUGGUUAAAAAAUAAAGAAAAGUUUUAGAUUUGCGUUUAAUACUAUUUUAAUAAAGAAUGUGUGAUUAAAAUUGAGUCAAGUUGUUUCGCGCGGGUUCGUCGCUAACAAUUAAAAGGGAUCAGACGAUUGUGUAAGGGACAAACCUCUUGAGACAAAGUCCCAAAAAGAGGUGUUCUUUUAUUGGCGAUGACUUUACAAUUGGAAAUUAAAAACAGAAUGCCUCCAAGGGGCGUAAGUACACGAGUUACUGAAAGAAGUGUUUAAAUCUAAGUUAAGGAAAUUAAAAUUACAUGUUCUCUAUUCGAGAGUUUUUGAUUCGGUGCUUUGCUCUAUGUCUUUUCUUCCUUUUAUACUCUUUGGAUGAUCUCUUUGUGAUCAACCGCCUAAAAACUGUUUGAUCGUUCUACAACUGUCCACUUUCCUCGUAAUGACCAACUUGUCAUGGAACUGCCUUUUUUAACUGCUGCCAUUAUUCUUCGUCGUUCAACCGUUUUCGAUUGAAUUCCUUGAAUCGUGGAACGUGAUAGGGCUGCUUUAAUAACUGCUUUGAUAACUGUACUUCUUGAUAACCACCACACUUUAUGUUUGCUAAGACCUUGGGCGACUCGAAGGUUUGGGCGAGAAUAGAGUAAAAGCUCUGGGCGACUGCAUGGCACUCCAUUCGCUCAGAUUCUGGGCGACUUGCAAACUUGGGCGAUGGUGUUACCACGUUCUUGGGCCUCCCUAUUUGGGCCUUCAUCUUGAAUUGUUUGAUUGGGCUUCGUUCUUCGGGCUAUCUGAUUUGGGGAUCCUCCAAUUGGGCUUCAUUCCUUGGGCCGUUCGAUUUGGGCUGAAUUUUUAUGUGUCAACAAUUACCGCCCAAUAUGGCAAAAUUAAUACCAAUUAUUAAAUUUUGCCAUAUUCACUUUGUGUUUCCAGCAACAUUCAAAAUUUCCAAGAAUUUCAAUCAUUGUUUUCUUGCAUAGCUUGAAAAGGUGCGACAUUUUGUAAACCCUUAUAACCCCCAAACACGCCAUUUCACUGCACCAUUAAAUCACGCCUCACUUUUUUGCGUCUCUCCCACGAUUUACUAUUCAUCUUUUGCUUCCCUGCUACGUAACUCUGAAAAAACUCCGUUUCAUCCCUAAUGGCAACUUCACAAUCUCAAGCUGGCGACUCCUUUAGUUUUGAUGACUUUCAGAAACUUCUGAGUCGUCCAUACAUAACUCCGAGUUUUCUCG
This 1523-nucleotide long non-coding RNA is filed under the name Olea europaea subsp. europaea. Lineage: Eukaryota; Viridiplantae; Streptophyta; Magnoliopsida; Lamiales; Oleaceae. The record is from RNAcentral.